GAUGAACGCUGGCGGCGUGCCUAAUACAUGCAAGUCGAGCGAACAGACGAGGAGCUUUCUCCUCUGACGUUAGCGGCGGACGGGUGAGUAACACGUGGAUAACCUACCUAUAAUACUGGGAUAACUUCGGGAAACCGGAGCUAAUACCGGAUAAUAUCUUGAACCGCAUGGUUCAAUAGUGAAAGACGGUUUUGCUGUCACUUAUAGAUGGAUCCGCGCCGCAUUAGCUAGUUGGUAAGGUAACGGCUUACCAAGGCAACGAUGCGUAGCCGACCUGAGAGGGUGAUCGGCCACACUGGAACUGAGACACGGUCCAGACUCCUACGGGAGGCAGCAGUAGGGAAUCUUCCGCAAUGGGCGAAAGCCUGACGGAGCAACGCCGCGUGAGUGAUGAAGGUCUUCGGAUCGUAAAACUCUGUUAUUAGGGAAGAACAAAUGUGUAAGUAACUAUGCACGUCUUGACGGUACCUAAUCAGAAAGCCACGGCUAACUACGUG
Molecule: ribosomal RNA, 497 nt
Filed under: uncultured bacterium
Lineage: Bacteria
Description: partial 16S ribosomal RNA
Rfam family: Bacterial small subunit ribosomal RNA
Source: RNAcentral